This 253-nucleotide ribosomal RNA is filed under the name uncultured bacterium. RNAcentral's name for it is "partial 16S ribosomal RNA". It matches the Rfam family "Bacterial small subunit ribosomal RNA", at positions 524 to 776 of the family's 1533-position model. The record is from RNAcentral.
GACAGAGGUGCCGAGCGUUAGGCGGAAUCACUGGGCUUAAAGCGUGUGUAGGCGGGUCGUUAAGUGUCUUGUGAAAUCCCACCGCUCAACGGUGGAACUGCUGGGCAUACUGGCGAUCUUGAGCCACCUAGGGGCAGACGGAACAAGCGGUGGAGCGGUGAAAUGCGUAGAGAUCCGGAAGAACACCGGUGGCGAAGGCGGCCUGCUGGGCAGUAGCUGACACUGAGGCGCGACAGCGUGGGGAGCAAACAGG